UAACCAUCCACUUAACAAAGAGUCUGACUAAAUUUAUUUAUAAGGGAACCCCAUUUUAUGCUGUCUUGGCAAGACAAAGAAAAUCCAAGUUGUGCAUGGCAGUAAAGGGGAGCCUGGAAGCAUCUCUGGCAGUUCCUUUCUUUCCCAAUUCUGAAGUGGGAAAAAGUGAGAAAGAAGAGAAAGUGGAAGUAAUGAUGAAACAAAUGUGCAAAGACUGACCCUUACUGAUGUGCAUCAAUGAAAGGAGGACAAAGCAGGCUUCUACCUCCUCUUCUUUUUGUAUUUUCUUUCCUCUCUUCUCAGUUUUUCCUAUUUCUAUUUUUCUUUCUCUUCAUAAGCUUUCUUC
Molecule: long non-coding RNA, 346 nt
Filed under: Homo sapiens (human)
Lineage: Eukaryota; Metazoa; Chordata; Mammalia; Primates; Hominidae
Description: non-protein coding lnc-MAGI1-2:1
Source: RNAcentral